RNAcentral lists this ribosomal RNA (254 nucleotides) under uncultured bacterium. Its description in RNAcentral is "partial 16S ribosomal RNA". It matches the Rfam family "Bacterial small subunit ribosomal RNA", at positions 74 to 334 of the family's 1533-position model. The record is from RNAcentral.
CAAACCAAAGCUGGCGACCGGCGCACGGGUGAGUAACACGUAUCCAACCUGCCUCAUACUCGGGGAUAGCCUUUCGAAAGAAAGAUUAAUAUCCGAUAGCAUAUAUUUCCCGCAUGGGUUUUAUAUUAAAGAAAUUCGGUAUGAGAUGGGGACGCGUUCCAUUAGUUUGUUGGGGGGUAACGGCCCACCAAGACUACGAUGGAUAGGGGUUCUGAGAGGAAGGUCCCCCACAUUGGAACUGAGACACGGUCCAA